GCGCGCUAGUGAGUGCGUGGCGGGUUGCAGCCACAAGGGUGCACAUCAUGCCCGAACGCUAGUGCAAAGCGGAAAAAGGCAAUUUCGUGCGCUGCGUCCAAGUGCUGUUCUCGUCGCUGCGUCGCUGCAGCGGUGACAAGCGAGGUGACGUGUGCAGCAGCGUGCAUAUCGUCUGCUCUGCUUGAAAGGCGAGGGCGCACGCAAAUGCGCACGUGGUGAAGUCUUACUCCGGCGCGGCGCGGCUCGGCUCGGCGCGUCGUGGUCGCAGCGCCAGGUCAUGCACACGCAAUCGGAAUCAGGCACUUCGACCGAUCUUGCAACUCCGGC
This 327-nucleotide small RNA is filed under the name Xanthomonas campestris pv. campestris. RNAcentral's name for it is "ncRNA of unknown function". Lineage: Bacteria; Pseudomonadati; Pseudomonadota; Gammaproteobacteria; Lysobacterales; Lysobacteraceae. The record is from RNAcentral.